This 252-nucleotide ribosomal RNA is filed under the name uncultured bacterium. Its description in RNAcentral is "partial 16S ribosomal RNA". It matches the Rfam family "Bacterial small subunit ribosomal RNA", at positions 524 to 776 of the family's 1533-position model. The record is from RNAcentral.
UACGUAGGUGGCAAGCGUUGUCCGGAAUUAUUGGGCGUAAAGCGCGCGCAGGCGGUCCUUAAGUCUGCUGUGAAAGCCCACGGCUCAACCGUGGAGGGUCAUUGGAAACUGGGGGACUUGAGUGUAGGAGAGAAGAGUGGAAUUCCACGUGUAGCGGUGAAAUGCGUAGAGAUGUGGAGGAACACCAGUGGCGAAGGCGACUCUUUGGCCUGUAACUGACGCUGAGGCGCGAAAGCGUGGGGAGCAAACAGG